GAUGAACGCUGGCGGCGUGCCUAAUACAUGCAAGUCGAGCGAACGGACGAGAAGCUUGCUUUUCUGAUGUUAGCGGCGGACGGGUGAGUAACACGUGGAUAACCUACCUAUAAGACUGGGAUAACUUCGGGAAACCGGAGCUAAUACCGGAUAAUAUUUUGAACCGCAUGGUUCAAAAGUGAAAGACGGUCUUGCUGUCACUUAUAGAUGGAUCCGCGCUGCAUUAGCUAGUUGGUAAGGUAACGGCUUACCAAGGCAACGAUGCAUAGCCGACCUGAGAGGGUGAUCGGCCACACUGGAACUGAGACACGGUCCAGACUCCUACGGGAGGCAGCAGUAGGGAAUCUUCCGCAAUGGGCGAAAGCCUGACGGAGCAACGCCGCGUGAGUGAUGAAGGUCUUCGGAUCGUAAAACUCUGUUAUUAGGGAAGAACAUAUGUGUAAGUAACUGUGCACAUCUUGACGGUACCUAAUCAGAAAGCCACGGCUAACUACGUGCCAGCAGCCGCGGUAAUACGUAAGUGGCAAGCGUUAUCCGGAAUUAUUGGGCGUCAAGCGCGCGUAGGCGGUUUUUUAGUCUGAUGUGAAAGCCCACGGCUCAACCGUGGAGGGUCAUUGGAAACUGGAAAACUUGAGUGCAGAAGAGGAAAGUGGAAUUCCAUGUGUAGCGGUGAAAUGCGCAGAGAUGUGGAGGAACACCAGUGGCGAAGGCGACUUUCUGGUCUGUAACUGACGCUGAUGUGCGAAAGCGUGGGGAUCAAACAGGAUUAGAUACCCUGGUAGUCCACGCCGUAAACGAUGAGUGCUAAGUGUUAGGGGGUUUCCGCCCCUUAGUGCUGCAGCUAACGCAUUAAGCACUCCGCCUGGGGAGUACGACCGCAAGGUUGAAACUCAAAGGAAUUGACGGGGGCCCGCACAAGCGGUGGAGCAUGUGGUUUAAUUCGAAGCAACGCGAAGAACCUUACCAAAUCUUGACAUCCUUUGACAACUCUAGAGAUAGAGCCUUCCCCUUCGGGGGACAAAGUGACAGGUGGUGCAUGGUUGUCGCCAGCUCGUGUCGUGAGAUGUUGGGUUAAGUCCCGCAACGAGCGCAACCCUUAAGCUUAGUUGCCAUCAUUAAGUUGGGCACUCUAAGUUGACUGCCGGUGACAAACCGGAGGAAGGUGGGGAUGACGUCAAAUCAUCAUGCCCCUUAUGAUUUGGGCUACACACGUGCUACAAUGGACAAUACAAAGGGCAGCGAAACCGCGAGGUCAAGCAAAUCCCAUAAAGUUGUUCUCAGUUCGGAUUGUAGUCUGCAACUCGACUACAUGAAGCUGGAAUCGCUAGUAAUCGUAGAUCAGCAUGCUACGGUGAAUACGUUCCCGGGUCU
This 1371-nucleotide ribosomal RNA is filed under the name uncultured bacterium. RNAcentral describes it as "bacterial SSU rRNA". It matches the Rfam family "Bacterial small subunit ribosomal RNA", at positions 28 to 1381 of the family's 1533-position model. The record is from RNAcentral.